UUAGGUGGUUAUAGCGACAGGGUUCCACCUCUUCCCAUUCCGAACAGAGAAGUUAAGCCUGUCCACGUCGAUGGUACUGCUGCAAAGUGGGAGAGUAGAUAGCCGCCGUUU
Molecule: ribosomal RNA, 111 nt
Organism: Paludibacter propionicigenes WB4
Lineage: Bacteria; Pseudomonadati; Bacteroidota; Bacteroidia; Bacteroidales; Paludibacteraceae
Source: Rfam